GACGAACGCUGGCGGCGUGCCUAAUACAUGCCAGUAGAACGCACAGUUUAUACCGUAGCUUGCUACACCAUAGACUGUGAGUUGCGAACGGGUGAGUAACGCGUAGGUAACCUGCCUGGUAGCGGGGGAUAACUAUUGGAAACGAUAGCUAAUACCGCAUAAUAUUAAUUAUUGCAUGAUAAUUAAUUGAAAGGUGCAAUUGCACCACUACCAGAUGGACCUGCGUUGUAUUAGCUAGUAGGUGAGGUAACGGCUCACCUAGGCGACGAUACAUAGCCGACCUGAGAGGGUGAUCGGCCACACUGGGACUGAGACACGGCCCAGACUCCUACGGGAGGCAGCAGUAGGGAAUCUUCGGCAAUGGACGAAAGUCUGACCGAGCAACGCCGCGUGAGUGAAGAAGGUUUUCGGAUCGUAAAGCCCUGUUGUAAGAGAAGAACGGGUGUGAGAGUGGAAAGUUCACACUGUGACGGUAUCUUACCAGAAAGGGACGGCUAACUACGUG
Molecule: ribosomal RNA, 505 nt
Filed under: uncultured bacterium
Lineage: Bacteria
Description: partial 16S ribosomal RNA
Rfam family: Bacterial small subunit ribosomal RNA
Source: RNAcentral